GACGAACGCUGGCGGCGUGCUUAACACAUGCAAGUCGAACGGAAAGGCCCUGCUUUUGUGGGGUGCUCGAGUGGCGAACGGUGAGUAACACGUGAGUAACCUGCCCUUGACUUUGGGAUAACUUCAGGAAACUGGGGCUAAUACCGGAUAGGAGCUCCUGCUGCAUGGUGGGGUUGGAAAGUUUCGGCGGUUGGGGAUGGACUCGCGGCUUAUCAGCUUGCUGGUGGGGUAGUGGCUUACCAAGGCUUUGACGGGUAGCCGGCCUGAGAGGGUGACCGGCCACAUUGGGACUGAGAUACGGCCCAGACUCCUACGGGAGGCAGCAGUGGGGAAUAUUGCACAAUGGGCGGAAGCCUGAUGCAGCAACGCCGCGUGCGGGAUGACGGCCU
Molecule: ribosomal RNA, 389 nt
Filed under: uncultured bacterium
Lineage: Bacteria
Description: bacterial SSU rRNA
Rfam family: Bacterial small subunit ribosomal RNA
Source: RNAcentral